Long non-coding RNA from Anthonomus grandis grandis, 1321 nucleotides. RefSeq lists it as uncharacterized. NCBI's taxonomy places the organism in Eukaryota, Metazoa, Arthropoda, Insecta, Coleoptera, Curculionidae. The transcript has 2 exons. The record is from RefSeq and is a predicted model, not a curated record.
UGUUAUAUAUUUACUAUGGAUAUAAUACGAAAAAAAUAAUUAUUAGAAAGCAGGCCAUGGAAUGCAACAAAACAAAUAUCUACUCAAAUUAUAAACAUUCCUCAAAUUGUCAAUAGUAAGUUGUCAAAAGUUUUACGUUACUUGAGCAUUUUUUGUUUUUGCAAAAUGCGUUUUACGAACCAUGAAGCUGUUGAUAUGCUUGCGGUUUAUUUUGAAUGUCUUCAAAAUGCUGCAGUAGCAAAAAGAGUUUAUGCUGCUCGAUAUCCAAAUCGAAGUCCUUGCGAUGUUAGAUUUUUUCCCCGAUUAGUGGCGAACUUACGAGCCAAUGGUAGUUUUCGGCCUAGGUUUCAACGGCCAAGAAUUAGAAGAAAUGUGGACAAUAUUAACAGCGUACUGGAAUAUAUUGAAGGAAAUCCUCAUGUUAGCACAAGAGCAUUAUCCCUUGAAUUAGGCAUAUCAAGAACAACGAUUCAAAAUAUUUUGAAGGACAAUAGAAUGCACCCAUAUCAUGUUAAUUUACAUCAGGCAUUGGAAGAAGCAGACUUUGACCGUAGAUUGGACUAUUGCCAUUGGAUAUUAGGUAUGAUACGCGAGGACAGAGAUUUUUUAUUUAAAAUUCUUUGGACCGAUGAAGCCACAUUUAAUAGUGACGGUAGCGUCAAUCUGCAUAACAUGCAUUAUUGGUCUGCAGAAAAUCCGCAUUGGUUGCGUGAAGUUCAGCACCAAGGGCGCUGGAGUUUAAAUGUGCGGUGUGGUAUACUUGGAGGCAACAUUAUUGGAUCAUAUUUUAUUGAGCAAUCUGUAAAUGGCAAUGUUUUUUUCGACUUUUUAGUAAUCAAUUACCGUUGUUGCUGGAAGAUGUGCCACUGGAAGUCCGGCAAAAUUUGUUUUUGCAGUUGGAUGGUUGUCCAGCACAUUUUGCUAGGAAUGUGCGAGAGCAUAUUAAUAACAUUUUUCAACAGCGGUGGAUUGGAAGAGGAAGCCUGUUUCCAUGGCCUCCGCGAUCCCCAGACUUAACCUGUCUUGAUUUCUAUUUAUGGGGGCGGUUAAAGGACAUUGUAUUUCAGACUCAGCCUACGACUAGAGAAGAUAUGAAAAACCGCAUUCGUAAUGCAAUACAUACCAUACCGAGAGCCGAAAUUGAAGCUGCAGUUCUAUCUACCUAUGAGAGGCUUCAGCAAUGCAUAGAGCGUGAUGGUCAGCAUUUCGAGCAUUUACGGGGGCAUUAAAACCCUUUCUUUUUAAAAUCGGUCCUUUAUAGGGCCACAACUUACAUUAUAAAAGAAAUUCGAAAUAAAUUAUUUUGUAGUUUUUAUAAAUA